This 249-nucleotide unclassified non-coding RNA is filed under the name Hevea brasiliensis (rubber tree). The record is from RNAcentral. Lineage: Eukaryota; Viridiplantae; Streptophyta; Magnoliopsida; Malpighiales; Euphorbiaceae.
GUUAUCAAUUAUGUCGUGGAAAAGUUGGUUCUUGACAAGCCUUUGGAUAGCGUAAACUCGGAUGGGACUUUUGCUCCUGGUUUACAUGGAACUACUGGAGUGGAUGACUCAUCCCGGAUUGGGCCGAAGCCUUCGCAAAAGCAUAAGCCAUCUAUAGAGAUCCUGUGCAAUAACCAGGUUUUAUCCCCUGAAAUGAGCUUAGCAACUGUACGGGCCUAUAUAUGGAAGAAACCUGAAGAUCUUGUACUU